GUGCUGAUUUGGCUGAGACAUCUGUCACCCCAUUGAUUGCCAGGGUUGAUUCGACUGAUUUGGCUGGCUAGGUGAGUGUCCAUUUUCUCCCUCACAGCUCCAUGUGCGUCCCUCCCAAAAAUUCAGUCAAAGAGGACGGCCUUCCCAAAAUAGAGACGGACCGUCUUCGGUUGAGUGUAUCUGAGUAGCUGCACUCCCCUGCUAGAACCUCCAAACAAGCUCUCAAGGUCCAUAAUUUAACAAUGUUAUUUUUGUAUUUACAUAGAAGACAAUAUACAUGUUAUAAAGUUAGGUUCCU
This 298-nucleotide small nuclear RNA is filed under the name Sorex araneus (European shrew). Its description in RNAcentral is "7SK RNA (ENSSARG00000017655.1)". It matches the Rfam family "7SK RNA". From Rfam's summary of the family: 7SK was discovered as an abundant small nuclear RNA in the mid-70s but a possible function has only recently been suggested. Two independent studies have found that 7SK RNA binds the CDK9/cyclin T complex (known as elongation factor P-TEFb). P-TEFb activates transcription by phosphorylating the C-terminal domain of RNA polymerase II. The record is from RNAcentral. Lineage: Eukaryota; Metazoa; Chordata; Mammalia; Eulipotyphla; Soricidae.